Molecule: ribosomal RNA, 3351 nt
Filed under: Triticum aestivum (bread wheat)
Lineage: Eukaryota; Viridiplantae; Streptophyta; Magnoliopsida; Poales; Poaceae
Description: partial small subunit ribosomal RNA
Source: RNAcentral
AAUGGUUACGUCGGGACUGCGCGGAGUGAAUGGACGGGCAAAAAUUAGGGGGGCCGUUUGGUUUAAAUUAGGGAAAAGGAAAAGAGUUUUCUAAUGCACUCUCGCCCCCUCAAAUCUUUCUUUUCGUUUUCUUCUUCUUCUUCUUCUUCUUUUUUCUUUGCUUUAACCCUCCUCUCGAGCACUCCCGAGGGUUUAAUGCAUCCUCUAUUCGCUUUAGGGGUUUAAAGAGGGGGGUAGAGGAGGGGGCAGGCGUCAGCAAACUCACCGGACGCUCGCUCGCUCGCGGGGGGUCGAGGCAGAAGGGGCGCGCGUCAUGCUCGCACGUCGGCUCUCGAAGCGAAACGACGACGAAAACACAAAGGGCUGGCUAAUAAAAGAACAGAAAACAGGCAUAAAAGGGCCAUAAUAGGACUAAACGCCACCAAAGAGCCACUAAAACGGCGCAGGCGCGAGCCCGCCCCCUAGACAUUAAAGACGCGGACCAGACGGUUUAGGAGAGCGGCCCCGAACCUAAUGGUUGGUGGGGCGUAAUAAAAAGGUAAAGCAAGACCAAAUGGCAAAGAACGAGGGCAAAAGAAAAGCAAAAAAGGAGUAAAAAGGGCAGUAAACGCCGGAGGAGGGUGAGCAGGGUUCUAUGACACUCGAGACAAGCAGCAGUUUCUAAAGCUCGAGACACGCGCGCCGCACCCCAAAUACCAAAAGAAUAUCGACGACGGCUCGAACGAACAAGACGAAGACCCAUCCUCGAAACCGAAGACGAAAAAAAACUCCUUACUACCUCCACUCCCGCAGCGUCCUCGUCGUCUCUCCCUACCGGCCCUCCCUCGGCAAGCCUGACGGGUUGUCGGGCGGGUGCGGCGUCAGGAGGCCUGGGCACGGGUUGUACGCGUACUGGAUGCCGCUCCUGCCGUUGCGGAUGAAGGAAUUCGGCCCGAGUCGAGGCGGCGGCCGCCUCCGCAUGGUCGGUCCCCCUCCGCGACCGGAGUUGUACGGCCGACCGGGGUUGCGCCGACGACGCCCCCCGUUACCGCCCGGUCGCAAGCUCGAGUUGUACCUCCUCCUCCGGCGGUUCUUCGCGCCGGCGCGUUACUUCAUGCCGCUGCUGCCGAGGUGCAGGGACCGUAACCACGGGCACGGGUACGGGCUCCUCGGAUGACGUCACCGCGGGCCACUAAGGCCCCGAAAGAGCCGCGGCCGGCAGUUUGGCCGCCGCCCGCCGCACGACCGCCACGGCGGCCACCCCUACUUCUUCGCCCCAGCGGGUUUCCCGAGGUGGUUGUUCCACUUCUUCGUUCUGUUCCAGUACAGACGCGAACGAAAGUAGCCCUGACGUCCUCGACCGAAAUGAGGUGUACAUUAACGACAAGUUCGACCUCUCCUACACCGACGUUUCUAGGACAGUAAACGCGUCGUACCUCAAGCACGUCAACAACAAGAAAGUCGUUUACCGCGGUAAAGUUUGCACUGGGAAUCCGUUAGACGGUGAAGUCCACCCUGCCAGUGUAUGCUCCCGGCUAAACUUUAUGACAGUGACAGACCUAGCAAGUGGCACGUUCUCUGACCUCCGGUAGCAUCGGCCUGGCCACCCGACUCACAAAGUGAGCGUUCAGGACUACCGGCGCAGAACCCACCGCCUUAACGACCUGAAGACUAACGGACGUGUGGAUAAGUCCAACACCACCCUUGGAAGUUGUGCCAGCGGCUCUUCUUCCGCGGCUUCGUGGUUCGACGACGACGUGUACUCGGGCGUAGGCGCGGUGGCUCCUACUGCGGCUUGAAGCACGGCCGCGGCUAGCGGCACGGCGGCGAGCGCUGGCGAGGGUAGUCGCAGCCCUACCGGGUCUUGUCGGGCGGCAGGUCCCCGUGCGAGUCGCUCAGGAGGCCCUCGGGCUACUUGGUCCCGCACGGCCGGCGCCGGUGAGGGUCGUUGUCGCCGGACAGGUCGUACGGGACCUUCACUCGAGUCACAGACAGACGUACGGUAGCAGCAGUCACUGGUCGAACUGCAUCUUAGGACUUCGUCUUCUCUCCCUUUUUUUUUGGACUUGAUCUACAAUGGCAACGGAAUCGCAUUAAAGCACCAGCUCUGACAAACAAAUCCGCAACUUGACAAAUUACACAGCAGCACCCAACAACAAUCGGGCCUACAGCACCUAAUUACACAGCCUAAUAGCAGCACAGCAGCAGCUCAAAUUGGCCACCAAUACUAUUUAAAUACUUGGAAACUAUUAACCACAAGAGACGACCCACACACCGACACUACGACUACCAAUAAGAAAAACCAAAACCAAAACCAAAAACGUUCAAAAGGCCACCAUAACGAUUAGAAAGACGACGACACUACGACUACCAAAAAGACAAACCUGAAGAAAGAGAGAGAGAGAAAAAAAAAACGUUUAAAAGGCCACGACGAGGAUCAGAAGGAGAAAGACGACGGCAACGAGCCAAAACGGUCGCUCACGCAGAAGUCGAGACCAAAUGCCAGAAGCAUCUUAUGCAGAAGUCCUCCUCCGCUGCCAAAUCUCUAGUGUCCUCCGCAGGUCUACGACCCAGCAGAGCGACCACGACCCAGGGUGUAGAAGAGAAGGUGUGUCGUGUCCGCGAUGUCGGGUUUGCUCUUCUGCCGGUUCUCUUCUGUGGUAGCCGCGUGCUCUGAACGCCGCGGGUGGUUGGAGCUGCGCGGCCUUGGGAUCGGUCGGCGGGUACCCAUAGCGGCCUCCCGCCGCGGUCAUCGCCCUUUGCCCUCCUCCUCCUCCUCCUCUCGCCUUCGCCUUGGGCGCGCGCGCCACAUCUAAUCCUCCCCUCCUCCCCGCUCUACAGACACGCCUAGUUCCGCCACCACCUGUCCAAGCACUUCCUCGACGUCCUCCGCGACCUGCGCCUGUAGGUCCUGGCGUAGUACUUCCUCGCCCUCUACGUCUCGAUGUAGGUCCUCGCGCUCGCGCUCCAGCGGCUCUCCCUCCGGCGGACCUUCCGGCUCGAGAGGGCGGCGCUCCGACUCUAACGCGCCGUUCUCCGCUCCGACUUCUACCUUUUUCUCUUGGACCUCUUCCUUUUUUCGCAGGAGUACCCUUGGCGGAGGUUAGUUCUGUUGGUCCUGCCUCGGGAGCUCUAGUGGCAGUCGCCGCUCUUCAUGUCCACGGAAGCAAAGAGGUUCCGCUUCUUCACUGUCCUGCUUGCUCCGCGGCUCCUCUGCCGGCACAUGACUUCAUCCCCAUCUAGACACAUGGUUUAGCGGUCGCAACCCGGACUAAAACUAAGUUUAACCUAAGAAAGACAUGUCCCUUAAGAAUUCUACACGCAACACGCGUUAUUUUACGUAUCGUCGAGUACGGCUCGAUUCCUAAAAGU